UUNUGAACUGGGUGACUAGAGUGUGUCAGAGGGAGNUAGAAUUCCACGUGUAGCAGUGAAACGCGUAGAGAUGUGGAGGAAUACCGAUGGCGAAGGCAGCCUCCUGGGAUAACACUGACGUUCAUGCUCGAAAGCGUGGGUAGCAAACAGGAUUAGAUACCCUGGUAGUCCACGCCCUAAACGAUGUCAAUUAGCUGUUGGGCAACUUGAUUGCUUAGUAGCGUAGCUAACGCGUGAAAUUGACCGCCUGGGGAGUACGGUCGCAAGAUUAAAACUCAAAGGAAUUGACGGGGACCCGCACAAGCGGUGGAUGAUGUGGAUUAAUUCGAUGCAACGCGAAGAACCUUACCUGGUCUUGACAUGUACGGAAUCCUCCAGAGACGGAGGAGUGCCUUCGGGAGCCGUAACACAGGUGCUGCAUGGCUGUCGUCAGCUCGUGUCGUGAGAUGUUGGGUUAAGUCCCGCAACGAGCGCAACCCUUGUCAUUAGUUGCCAUCAUUUAGUUGGGCACUCUAAUGAGACUGCCGGUGACAAGCCGGAGGAAGGUGGGGAUGACGUCAAGUCCUCAUGGCCCUUAUGACCAGGGCUUCACACGUCAUACAAUGGUCGGUACAGAGGGUAGCCAAGCCGCGAGGUGGAGCCAAUCUCACAAAACCGAUCGUAGUCCGGAUUGCACUCUGCAACUCGAGUGCAUGAAGUCGGAACCGCUAGUAAUCGCAGGUCAGCA
Molecule: ribosomal RNA, 727 nt
Filed under: uncultured bacterium
Lineage: Bacteria
Description: bacterial SSU rRNA
Rfam family: Bacterial small subunit ribosomal RNA
Source: RNAcentral